RNAcentral lists this ribosomal RNA (467 nucleotides) under uncultured bacterium. Its description in RNAcentral is "partial 16S ribosomal RNA". It matches the Rfam family "Bacterial small subunit ribosomal RNA", at positions 28 to 507 of the family's 1533-position model. The record is from RNAcentral.
GACGAACGCUGGCGGCGUGCUUAACACAUGCAAGUCGAACGGAAAGGCCUCUUUCGGGGGGUACUCGAGUGGCGAACGGGUGAGUAACACGUGAGUAACCUGCCCUUGACUUUGGGAUAACUUCAGGAAACUGGGGCUAAUACCGGAUAGGAGCUCCUGCUGCAUGGUGGGGGUUGGAAAGUUUCGGCGGUUGGGGAUGGACUCGCGGCUUAUCAGCUUGUUGGUGGGGUAGUGGCUUACCAAGGCUUUGACGGGUAGCCGGCCUGAGAGGGUGACCGGCCACAUUGGGACUGAGAUACGGCCCAGACGCCUACGGGAGGCAGCAGUGGGGAAGAUUGCACAAGGGGUGGAAGCCUGAUGCAGCAACGCCGUGUGCGGGAGGACGGCCUUCGGGUUGUAAACCGCUUUCGCUCAUGACGAAGCUUUGUGUGACGGUAGUGGGUAAAGAAGCACCGGCUAACUACGUG